GACAGAGGGUGCAAACGUUGUUCGGAAUUACUGGGCGUAAAGCGCGUGUAGGCGGCCAGGUAGGUCCGCUGUGAAAACUCGAGGCUCAACCUCGAGACGUCGGCGGAAACCAUCUGGCUAGAGUCCGGAAGAGGAGAAUGGAAUUCCCGGUGUAGCGGUGAAAUGCGCAGAUAUCGGGAAGAACACCCGUGGCGAAGGCGGUUCUCUGGGACGGUACUGACGCUGAGACGCGAAAGCGUGGGGAGCGAACAGG
RNAcentral lists this ribosomal RNA (253 nucleotides) under uncultured bacterium. RNAcentral describes it as "partial 16S ribosomal RNA". It matches the Rfam family "Bacterial small subunit ribosomal RNA", at positions 524 to 776 of the family's 1533-position model. The record is from RNAcentral.